RNAcentral lists this ribosomal RNA (460 nucleotides) under uncultured bacterium. RNAcentral describes it as "partial 16S ribosomal RNA". It matches the Rfam family "Bacterial small subunit ribosomal RNA", at positions 338 to 795 of the family's 1533-position model. The record is from RNAcentral.
CCUACGGGUGGCAGCAGUGAGGAAUAUUGGUCAAUGGGCGCGAGUCUGAACCAGCCAAGUAGCGUGAAGGAUGACUGCCCUACGGGUUGUAAACUUCUUUUAUAAAGGAAUAAAGUGAGGCACGUGUGCCAUUUUGUAUGUACUUUAUGCAUAAGAAUCGGCUAACUCCGUGCCAGCAGCCGCGGUAAUACGGAGGAUCCGAGCGUUAUCCGGAUUUAUUGGGUUUAAAGGGAGCGUAGAUGGGUUGUUAAGUCAGUUGUGAAAGUUUGCGGCUUAACCGUAAAAUUGCAGUUGAUACUGGCAGCCUUGAGUACAGUUGAGGUAGGCGGAAUUCGUGGUGUAGCGGUGAAAUGCUUAGAUAUCACGAAGAACUCCGAUUGCGAAGGCAGCUCACUAGACUGCCACUGACACUGAUGCUCGAAAGUGUGGGUAUCAAACAGGAUUAGAUACCCUGGUAGUC